AUUUUUGUUGGCUGCUAACCUACUAAGCAUUUUUUGGCAGCGUGUGGUUCUGGAUUGAAGCCAUGCAUGCAAGUCUUCCACACUUACAAAGAAAACAAAUCUAGAAGCCAAUGUCCAAAACUGUUUUCUUCUUCUGUUGCACUUCUUUCCCAGCAUGUUCCCCAGGACAUUGGAAGAAGAGCAGGACUGAAUCAGCUUGGAAAAUGUGAAUAUUUCUGAACGUGUGGACACUUCUCACUUCUCAAGUGUGGGAGGAAUAUUUUACUGCCCACCUACCCAUCACUCAAAUGUCCCAAUCAAGUUAUUGAAACAAAUUAACCUUAGGGUGAUUAUCUGAAAAGAAUGUUCCUCCUGCCUCAAAAGGCACAUCUACUAUCACCUAAGCUUUUGUGCCUAUGUAUCAUAAGCCCAGGCUGGUUUCAGAAAAUAACUGAAGAAAUGAC
Molecule: long non-coding RNA, 443 nt
Organism: Dromaius novaehollandiae (emu)
Lineage: Eukaryota; Metazoa; Chordata; Aves; Casuariiformes; Dromaiidae
Exons: 3
Source: RefSeq, a predicted model, not a curated record